UAUUAGAUUGGUGCAAAAGUAAUUGCGGUUUUUGCCAUUACCUUCAAUGGUAAAAACUGCAAUUACUUUUGCACCAACCUAAUA
This 84-nucleotide microRNA precursor is filed under the name Gorilla gorilla gorilla (western lowland gorilla). RNAcentral describes it as "mir-548 microRNA precursor family". It matches the Rfam family "mir-548 microRNA precursor family". Lineage: Eukaryota; Metazoa; Chordata; Mammalia; Primates; Hominidae. The record is from Rfam by way of RNAcentral.